GCUGACGAGUCCCAAACAGGACGAAACACCUGUCC
Molecule: non-coding RNA, 35 nt
Organism: Echinostoma caproni
Lineage: Eukaryota; Metazoa; Platyhelminthes; Trematoda; Plagiorchiida; Echinostomatidae
Source: Rfam